RNAcentral lists this ribosomal RNA (492 nucleotides) under uncultured bacterium. RNAcentral describes it as "partial 16S ribosomal RNA". It matches the Rfam family "Bacterial small subunit ribosomal RNA", at positions 30 to 507 of the family's 1533-position model. The record is from RNAcentral.
AUUGAACGCUGGCGGUAGGCUUAACACAUGCAAGUCGAACGGCAGCACAGUAAGAGGUUGUUCUUACGGGUGGCGAGUGGCGGACGGGAGCGGAAUACAACCGAUCCUACUUUAUCGUGAGUGAUAAGGGAAGCAAACGUACCCUACUACCGCUUUCUACCUUCGGGUGAAGGCAGGGGAUCUUCCGACCUUAGCGGACGCAAUGAGACGAUGUCGGAUUUGCUAGUUGGCGGGGUAAAGGCCCACCAAGGCAACGAGCCGUAGCUGGUCUGAGAGGAUGACAGGCAACACUGGAACUGAGACAGGGUCCAGACUCCUACGGGAGGCAGCAGUGGGGAAUAUUGGACAAUGGGCGCAAGCCUGAUCCAGCAAUACCGCGUGGGUGAAGAAGGCCUUCGGGUUGUAAAGCCCUUUUGUUGGGAAAGAAAAGCAGCAGGUUAAUACCCCGCUAUUCUGACGGUACCCAAAGAAUAAGCACCGGCUAACUACGUG